AGAAGCUUAGGUUAAACUAAACCAGGAGCCUUCAAAGCCCCAAACAGGAAUUACACUCCUAGCUUCUG
This 68-nucleotide transfer RNA is filed under the name Strophurus williamsi. Its description in RNAcentral is "tRNA-Trp". It matches the Rfam family "tRNA". From Rfam's summary of the family: Transfer RNA (tRNA) molecules are approximately 80 nucleotides in length. Their secondary structure includes four short double-helical elements and three loops (D, anti-codon, and T loops). Further hydrogen bonds mediate the characteristic L-shaped molecular structure. tRNAs have two regions of fundamental functional importance: the anti-codon, which is responsible for specific mRNA codon recognition, and the 3' end, to which the tRNAs corresponding amino acid is attached (by aminoacyl-tRNA synthetases). tRNAs cope with the degeneracy of the genetic code in two manners: having more than one tRNA (with a specific anti-codon) for a particular amino acid; and 'wobble' base-pairing, i.e. permitting non-standard base-pairing at the 3rd anti-codon position. Lineage: Eukaryota; Metazoa; Chordata; Lepidosauria; Squamata; Diplodactylidae. The record is from RNAcentral.